CCACCAUGCAAAUGAAAAGACUGUCAGGAUAUUGAAGGCCUGGUUACUAUCAAGCCAAGGCCGCUUUCCCUCUAAUGAGGCACUAACAUAAAGACAAUUGGGAGUCUCCUGGUGGAAUGUUACAUUCCUGCUAUCAAAGCGUCCUUGUUAGUGAGAUUUAGGUUUAGAAGAAAUUUAACUUUAUUUACUUUUCCUUCUACCUCAGCCUCCUUC
Molecule: long non-coding RNA, 213 nt
Organism: Lontra canadensis (Northern American river otter)
Lineage: Eukaryota; Metazoa; Chordata; Mammalia; Carnivora; Mustelidae
Exons: 3
Source: RefSeq, a predicted model, not a curated record